This 3690-nucleotide long non-coding RNA is filed under the name Marmota monax (woodchuck). Lineage: Eukaryota; Metazoa; Chordata; Mammalia; Rodentia; Sciuridae. The record is from RNAcentral.
AUACAAUAAAAACAUUAGUCAGAAGAAAGCAUGAUGUAACUGGGAGUUGUUGUAGUAAGUGAAAUAAGCCAGGUACAGAAAGACAGUGCACAGUCUCAACCAUGGAAUACAAGAAAGUUAAUCUCAUAGAAGUUCAGAGUCUAAUGAUUACCAGAAGCUGGGGGCAUAGCAGGAAAGGGAAUGGGGAAAGGUUGAAUAAUGGGUACCAAAUUAGAGGUAAAAGGUAAAAGUUCUGGUGUGCUGUUAUGCCAUAGGAUGACCAUAGAUGAAGACAUGUACUAAAUGUUUUAUUAAAGCCAUUGGGAAGAAUUUUAAAUGUUUUCACCAUAAGGAAAUGAUAAUUGUUUGAGGAUACAGGUAUGUUCACCCUGAUUGGAACAUUACACAACAGAUACAUAUAUAGAAGCAUCACAUGGUACCCCAUCAAUAUGUACAAGUUCUAUGUAUCAGUUAAAUUUUAAAAAAAUUUAAAAGAAAUAUCAAAGUAAAAAAAAAAAAGAAAAAGGAAAGAAAGGAAUGACCAAAUUAGUAUCAGAUAAAGUCAAUUUAGGAGCAGAGAAAAUUGCCGGGGACUGAGCAGGACAUUACAUAUUUCUAAAUGACACAAAUCCCCCAGGAAAACAUAGUACCACAAGGUGAGCACAUCUCUUCUGUCCCAUGCUCUGACUACCAUGUCCUCUGCCACAGCAAGGACAACUGACCACAGGCUGAAACCAUGAGCCAAAAUAAGUCCUUUACCCCUUAAGUUGAUUAUCUCUGGUAUUUUGUCACAGUGAAAGAAAACUGAUGCACAAACAUUGUAAUUUGGGACCUUAUCUGGAAAAUCAAAAUAUUUUAUAAAAUUGAGCUCAUUCUCACAUGGCAAACUGAUACAAGCAUGGAGGAGAAGUGUUAGACACAAAAGGACCCUCCAGUUCAGCAGUGUCCCCACUGGGCAGCUAAAGAUCCACUGUCAUUUAUCAUCAUCAAAUGUUAAGCAUUUAUAUUUUUGAUAUCUGGAUCCCUCAUUCAUUUAUAUAACUUGCCUGGCCCCAGCAGGUGUUCCAUUCUCAACCUGUUGUAUAGGUGGGAGCUUUCUAAAGUUAUCUCCUGUUUUAUGAAAUCCUAUACAUACCAAAGACAACAGAAAAAAAAAAUACGUGUGUAUAUAUGAAUUCUUUGGGGCCCUUUCAUAGUAUACUAAAAUCUGUUGAUUUACACACUAUCUUAAGAGUCAUGUUAUUUCAAUCAACAUUUAUUGAGAAUCUAUUUAAACCAAACUCUCUACGAGCUGGAGAUAUAUUGCAUGGACAGAUCAAAUGAUUCCUCUCCUUCUGGGCUAGCCUAACAAAAUGAGAAAUGUGCUAGAGGAACUCAAAGGGAAAAAAUGGGGAUUUGGAAACAUUUAACAGAAUAUAUUAUCAUGGGCUCAGGAUGUGGCUCAAGUGGUAGCGCGCUCGCCUGGCAUGCGUGAGGCACUAAGUUCAAUCCUCAGCACCACAUAAAAAAAAUAAAUAAAAUAAAGAUUAAAAAAAAAAGAAUAUGAAAAGAUCUCCCAUUUAAAAAAAAAAAAGAAUAUAUUAUCAUUGCACUUUGUUCCUGGAGAGCAUGUAGGAGGUAACAAUAGCCAAAAGAAGAAAGGGAGAAAGGACUUUUUAACACAAAAAAUAGCCUGUAUGAAGCCCCCCAGUUCUAAAAGAGGUAAGCUGUCAAUAUCAUGGAAAAUAUAUUAUGGCCAAGAGUCAGGAUGGACCCAUGGAAGUGAAGCUGGAGAGCUGAUUGAAACCAGACCGUGAAGAGCUUCAAAAGCCACGUUUAUGGAGAAAUUGGUCCUGGAGUGACAGCAGAACUUGCAGCACAUGCAUAUAGAACUGAAACCAAAGUUUCUCUGCAUCUGAUGGCAGAUGGGGUCUGCGUAAGUUGCAGGCCUUUCCAGUCAAGAAAGCCUGUGUCAGUGUGAGCAGCCAGUCAAGACAGGGAAUGCCUGCCCGUGUCCGCUCUGAGGGUCACAGCCAACAAAACCUGAUUCUCCUCCACUAUCAUGGAGUAGCAUGUUGCAGCUCUCAAUGGUGGCCAUGCCCUCCAGUGCUGCAGCAGAGCCAAGAACAGACCCAAAAUCCUGCAGGAUGAGAGGGGACCCAGCAGAAGGUUGCCUCUUGGUUGUGCUUGUCUUGGAGUUAUUAUAUAACUACUGGUCCAGAUUGAGACUAAUCAGGUUUUGGAAAAGUGCCAACACUAUUGGUCCAACUUUACGCUGAUCAGAUCUUGGAUAGUAUUAAUGCUAUCGUUAGCCCUCGAGUAAUUUUCCUGCCAUCUCCACUCAGGUUUGCCCCCACUUGUGUUUUCUUGUCACUGAUUGGGCUCACCCUGGCUCACCUGGACCCUAGCUCUGGGACACAGGCCCGCCCCAGCAUGAUAGGAUCCACCCAUCGGUAACCCGCAUUCACUGUGUGCUCCAGCCCACCCAGGCUGCCACUCUGGGACAAAGGCUUGGAUUCAGAACCAACUAUCAGUUUUGCUUUAUGGAAGAUAAUCUAUCCACAGCGAACCUCCUCAAGCCAACUUUUAUCAUUUUUACUUCUCUUACUACAGUCAAGGUCUUAGAUCACCUGGUAUCAGUAGAGACGGGGCACUGUGGCCAGGGAGCUGAUGAUGGUUUGUAAGUGGAGCAUUUGUUGAGUUCUUACAGUGAGAAGGAGCUACAUCUUAGUCUUCAAUGGAGUCUGUGCAACGCAGGUGCUAAGCUGGGCAGCUCGGCCAUCCACAGGCAGGAUUAGGCAGAGAGCGCCUCUCUAAGUCACUUGUCAGUCAAAAGCUUGUGGAUACGUAUCCAAAGGCCCCACAGUACAUCUGGCAAACGGGCGCACCCUCCCCUGUGAGACCCAGGACUUGUCAUUUUGGUUCCAGAUCUUUUCUUUUAUGGUCUGUAAGAGAAAUCCGAGCCCAGGCCAGAUUCUGAGAAGAACGCGUUAUUGCAGCCAAAGGAAGAAAAAUGACAAGCACGUGGCAGAGAAGAAAGCUGGACCCGUCUCAAAGGUAUACUUCAGCCCUGGCCACUCACAAAGCCAGCAGAGAACAGUUCAUGAAAUAAAAAUGCAUAAAAUAAACAAACCGCCCGCCAUGGAACCAUGCUUAAAUGAUAGCAGAUGAAAUUUAGAGUUCAUUUAAAAAAUAUAUUCUCUGAAAGGGAAAAAAAAAAGGUGUUCAAACUGAAAGAGUGUUAAGAGGUGCCUUUUUGAAAGGCGGGGGCUCCUUUUUAAAGACUCACUAGCUCCGUGGUAGAUUUUUUUUUUCUCUUUGUUUUUUCGAUCAGUAAUCACAUGUGACUGUCUAUCACGGGACAAGCACUGUGCUAAGCUUUGGUGACACAAAGACUUUUAUUCUGUGACCUCAGGGACAUUCUCCAAUGUCUUCAGAGUCAAUGGCACCAUGUUCAUGCACUUGGUCCAGGAGGUUGGCGGGAAGUAUCCUAAAAAUCAUGCAAAGUGGUGUCCUCGUGUCAGCCAGGCUGUGUCAUCGUUUCAGGAGACGUUCUGCUCCUUUUUUUGAAGUAUCUCCAGUUUGUAAGCAUGACGGCCAGUUGGCAGGCUAGCAUUUUCAGUUUGUAAUUUUCAACAUAAAAGCCUCGUUUUUAGUUCUAACCUGCAGGGACGACCAUCCUGGCCUCCUCGUCCUUCUCCUGCCUCACUGCCGCAGCUGCCCCAGCAGAGA